This 472-nucleotide ribosomal RNA is filed under the name uncultured bacterium. RNAcentral describes it as "partial 16S ribosomal RNA". It matches the Rfam family "Bacterial small subunit ribosomal RNA", at positions 28 to 507 of the family's 1533-position model. The record is from RNAcentral.
GACGAACGCUGGCGGCGUGCUUAACACAUGCAAGUCGAACGCUGAAGCUUGGUGCUUGCACUGGGUGGAUGAGUGGCGAACGGGUGAGUAAUACGUGAGUAACCUGCCCUUGACUCUGGGACAAGCCUGGGAAACUGGGUCUAAUACUGGAUACGACAUGUCACCGCAUGGUGGUGUGUGGAAAGGGUUUUACUGGUUUUGGAUGGGCUCACGGCCUAUCAGCUUGUUGGUGGGGUAAUGGCUCACCAAGGCGACGACGGGUAGCCGGCCUGAGAGGGUGACCGGCCACACUGGGACUGAGACACGGCCCAGACUCCUACGGGAGGCAGCAGUGGGGAAUAUUGCACAAUGGGCGGAAGCCUGAUGCAGCGACGCCGCGUGAGGGAUGACGGCCUUCGGGUUGUAAACCUCUUUCAGCACGGAAGAAGCGAAAGUGACGGUACGCGCAGAAGAAGCGCCGGCUAACUACGUG